CCCACCCCUAGCUUGUUGUUUGGUUAUUCCAACUUCUAUAGCCCCAACGCCAGAUGCAGGUGAUGUAAGUUCAUGACGGCCCUGACUCUAUUGUGCUUAGAAGACAGUGUUUCACAGUUUUUCUCCCAAUCUUCUGGCUCGUAUGUACUUCUUAUUCCUUCUUCUGUAAUAUUCUUUGAGCCUUAAGUGGGUUGUAUAACUGUCUUGUUUGGGGGGGUUGUGUCUUUCACCGCCCUUUUAAUUCACAUCUUUUUUUUUCUUUAUUAACUUGAGUAUUUCUUAUUUACAUUUCGAUUGUUACUCCCUUUCCCGGUUUCCAGGCAAACAUCCCCCUAGCCCCUCCCCCUCCCCUUCUAUAUGGGUGUUCCCCUCCCCAUACUCCCCCCAUUACCGCCCUCCCCCCAACAGUCCCGUUCACUGGGGGGUUCAGACUUGGCAGGACCAAGGGCUUCCCCUUCCACUGGUGCUCUUACUAGGAUAUUCAUUGCUACCUAUGAGGUCAGAGUCCAGGGUCAGUCCAUGUAUAGUCUUUAGGUAGUAGCUUAGUCCCUGGAAGCUCUGGUUGCUUGGCAUUGUUGUUCAUAUGGGGUCUUGAGCCCCUUCAAGCUCUUCCAGUCCUUUCUCUGAUUCCUUCAACGGGGGUCCCGUUCUCAGUUCAGUGGUUUAAUGAUGUCAUUCGCCUAUGUAUUUGCUGUAUUCUGGCUGUGUCUCUCAGGAGAGAUCUACAUCCGGUUCCUGUCGGCCUGCACUUCUUUGCUUCAUCCAUCUUAUCUAGUUUGGUGGCUGUAUAUGUAUGGGCCACAUGUGGGGCAGGCUCUGAAUGGGUGUUCCUUCUGCCUCUGUUCUAAACUUUGCCUCCCUAUUCCCUCCCAUGGGUAUUCUUGUUCCCCUUUUAAAGAAGGAGUGAAGCAUUCUCAUUUUGGUCAUCCUUCUUGAGUUUCAUGUGUUUAAUUCACAUCUUAUAUAGGUACAAGUCACUGCAUUUCACCUCUAUCUUGCAGCAAAAGGGGAUUUUUCUUAUUAAAGCUGAGGGUAGCUUUUGUCUUUGGAUCUAAACAGAUAUUUGGAAGGCUGUUUGAUGAUGAUAUACCCCUUUCUCUAAGCUCGGUUUAUCAUUAGGAUGUAUGACCUUCUUAGCCGUUGUUUUUUUUUGUUGUUGUUGGUGGUUUGUUUGCUUUGGGUUUUUCUAAACCACAUAUAUGGUAUUAGAAAUAAUGGGUUUCUUUUAUGCAGUAUUCUUUAAAACCAACCAGGGACCAUAACGACCAUGCCAUUAUUAUACCAAUGGAUAUGUCUUUUCUGGAAAGUUGGCAUUGCCAUAUGCAGGAUUCAAAACUAACUAGUAAAUCCACUGACUACUUUAUUUCCCUAGAAGUCUGAAUAAUGCUAUCCGGCACUGUGGAAGCUGGCCAGUAAGGAGUAAGCUUCCAGCUGGGUUCCCAUCAGUUUCUCUUUAUCCUUCAUCCGAGGUGUGUGCAGUCUUCAGAAAUAGGGUCUUGUCACUAGACAACAGACCUAUUACUUCUUUAACUUCUUUGCCUCUAGAAUUGAAAAACAGGUUCUCUGGUCUUUGCAAGUCCCACACACUCAUGUAUUUUUAUGCUAGCUUAAACAAAGACAGGUACCAAACUGCCUUAUACAGCAUUUCUAAAAUAAAAAAUGCAUGUGAUUGCCUAGAAAUUUAAAAAAUGCAGAUUUUUGAGAAAAGAAAUCGUCAGAUGUACUGAUAUUACAAGGAAGUCAAGUAAGAAGAGCCAAGACUCACCAGUUAGACGUAAUUAGUGGAAACCGUUGAUAUAUCUGAAAUGAAUAGUUUUUAUUUUUAAUUUUUUUAGCUUUUUAUUGGUUGUUUUAUUUAUUUACACUUCAAAUGUUCCCCCCUUCCCAGUUUCCUCUCUGAAAGCCUCCCAUCCAAUCCCCCCUCCCCCUCCCUCCAUGAGGGAGCUCUGCCACCCACCCACCCACUCCUGCCCCACCGCCCUAGCAUUCCCCUAUGCUGGGGCAUCGAGCCUUCACAGGACCCAAAGCCUCUCCUUCCUUUGAUGCCAGACAAGGCCAUCCUCUGCUGUAUAAGCUCUGAAGCCAUGGGUCUGUCCAUGUGUAUUCUUUGGUUGACAGUUUAGUCCUUGAAAGCUGGGGAGUUGGCAGUGGGGGCUGGUUGGUUGCUAUUGUUGUUCUUCCUAUAGGGCUGCAAACCCCUUCUGCUCCUUUAAUCCUUCCCCUAACUCCUCCACUGGGGUCCCUGUGCUCAGUCCGAUGGUUGGCUGCAAGCAUCCAUUCGCAUCUGUAUCGGUAAGGCUCUGGUAGAGCCUCUCAGGAGACAGCUAUAUCAGGCUCCUGUCAGCAAGCACUUCUUGGCAUCAGCAAUAGUGUCUGGGUUUGGCAGUCUCUGGAUGGUCUUUUCUUCAGUCCAUCUCUGCUCCACUCUUUGUCCCUGUAUUUCCUUUAGACAGAAUCAAUUGUGGGUUAAAAUUUUGAGAAGGGUGGGCAGGACCCAUCUCUCAACAGGGGACCAUGCCUAAGCUCUGGAUAUGCUCUUUACAGGUUCUCUCUCCCCUUUGUUGGGUAUUUCAGUUAACGGUCAUCUCUGUUGGCUCCUGGGAGCCUCUUGCUUUCCUAAUGUCUUUUCAAUUCAUUGGAAAAGAUAGAUAACUUAGGAUGGUUUAGGAGUGGGUAAGGGAUAAGAAUUCUAGACUUCAAGUUUGAAUUUCAAAUAUUAUAUAUUUGAUCGGUGUGUGUGUGUGUGUGUGUGUGUGUGUGUGUGUGUUUAUGUGUGACUUUAAGUAGCUGUUAAGUAACAAGGGUUCAAAAAUUAUAACGUAGUUAAAAAUUAUGGUUCAAUUAAUUAAUAUAUAGUUGUAAUAUUUGCUCCUCACCAAGUAUUUUCAAACUUAUUCCCUUAGACCAUUUUUCUUCUUAUAUGAGCUACUUAGUUUUUCACUUUUCCAAAUAGAUAAAUAUCUAUUUUAAGCAAGUAAAUAUGAUAUAUAAGUUGGGUAAAAACUAUAGGAAUUGUUUCAUCAUUCACUUUUUUUUUGGUUCUUUUUUUCGGAGCUGGGGACCGAACCCAGGGCCUUGUGCUUCCUAGGCAAGCGCUCUACCACUGAGCUAAAUCCCCAACCCCUUUGUUUCAUCAUUUAACCCUGGGCCGGACUGUGAAUCAGUCAGCAUGACACGGUUCCUUGACAACUAGGUUUGCUGGUGUCCUUGUUCUUAAGGACUCAUAAACUCAUUCGAAAGGGUAUUUGUGAUACAGAUGAAUUUGUGACUCCUAGGCCGAAGUCAAGCUCUUCCCUCCUGCCUUUCUUUGGGUCACUCUUUGGGGCUCCUGUUGAUGUCCCCACAAAGGGUAGUAGAUUGUUUGACUUCUGGUUCAAAUGAAGCUGGAGUCUGGACUAAAGACUUCUCUAGUAAAGUCAUCAUCUACACUUAAAUUCUAUUGUGACAAAGUCAGUUAUUACCUUUGAAGCACAAAACCCAUCACUCCCUUUGCUGACAGAAAACUUCAUGUUCUCAUUUAAUGAAGAGAACAUGAAUUUAAUUUAAUAUCCAUUUAAAUAUCCUCAAUGUAAUAUCCAUUGGGGUUUAAUAGGAAAAACAGGCCUAACCAUCAGAGAGGUUGAGUUUCAAAUCUAGUCUUUCUUCUUACCUAAGCCUUAAUUUCUCUGAUCUUCAAACUGCUUAUAGAUAUAGUCAUUUAUAGGAAUAACAUGGUUGUGUUCAUGCCAGUGCAGAAUAUUUUUUAAAAGAUGAAAAAGAAAGAGUUAAGCUAAGAUGCUUAGACAAAAAACAAACAAAAAAAUAAAAAGCAACUGAGCACAAAUUCAGAGAGGGAACAGGGAGAGAUGGCAAUAUACAAUAAGAAACAAUAGAACUAAUAUACAAUAAGAAAUAAUAAAUACAAAAACAUGAACAACAAUAGCUGUGACAGGCUAAACACACUCACAGGGGUCCUGGAAUCUAUUUCAGAGGAAGGACUGACAGUCUGGAAAAGAGAAAAUAAGAGAGGGUUGUGAGAGAAAUGAGUCUCAAGGCAACCAGGAUCAUGUUCUGACAGGUCAAAAGUAAAAUGGCCACUGGACAUCACAAUGGCUCUGGAACCAUGUACAGACUGGAAUGACAAAUGUGAGACUAUUUGCGACAGCACAUAAAACAACCCAAGUGAGUUCCCCAAGGACGGACACUGGACUUGUAUUGACCCUCAUGAACAACAUUUAGAAGCCUUAGUGAUUGGCUGACGUAGAAACAGCAUUCUUCUUGGAGGAACAGGCAAAGACCACCUUCUUUAGCUGUCAGGACAUCCAGUCCCCGUCGGUUCUGAAACACCACAGCUGCAACAAAGAAUCGAUCUGUUUCUGGAUGACUCUGGCAUCUGCUUUAAGAUUGCUGUUUGAGGAGAGUUCCACUGUUAAGCUUGCCGUCACCUCUAAGUUGUCUGAGCUUACCACAGUCCAUUAAGGUUGUCAUUUUGUCUGAGGACCAUGGGCAAAGGCUGACAGAUUACAGCAUAUCUUCCUUCACAGUUUACUGAACAGAAUAUGGGAAAAAUCCCAGAGCAACCCCAUGAAGAUUGAAGCUUAGAUCCAUGUGUCGCAAAUACGAUUGUUAUGGGACUAGCCUGGCCUCUCAAUUUUCAGAAGUGAGCAAAUAACCCAAGAGUGGCUGAAAGGCAUCUGUAUGGAGAGUUCCUUUGUAAGUACUUGGAAAGUGAAGACAGUCCAAGGAGAAAGUCCCUGGACAAUGGGCUACCUCAAGAGACUAAAGUGGAGAGCCUUUCGGUGGCGAAGUUUUCUCUCACUGCUCUGUUGCAUGAGUUAAUA
Molecule: long non-coding RNA, 4820 nt
Organism: Rattus norvegicus (Norway rat)
Lineage: Eukaryota; Metazoa; Chordata; Mammalia; Rodentia; Muridae
Source: RefSeq, a predicted model, not a curated record